Long non-coding RNA from Lolium rigidum, 1447 nucleotides. RefSeq lists it as uncharacterized. The transcript is spliced from 2 exons. The record is from RefSeq and is a predicted model, not a curated record. NCBI's taxonomy places the organism in Eukaryota, Viridiplantae, Streptophyta, Magnoliopsida, Poales, Poaceae.
UGCUGAUAUUAUUUGGUUACAAUAUCUGGUAUGUAUUUCACUGCAUGUGUGUUCUCUUUUUAGUUCAAGGAACCAUCUUGUUUGCUGUUGUGAGUUCGGUUUGUUGACUUGUGUUGUAUUUUCUUCCUCCUUUUCUUAGUAUGCUUCACAUAGGACUUGUGCACUAUCAUAUCAGGACAUGAAAAGCCAAUUCCUACUCCCUGUUACUGCCAAUUUUUAGAUUUUCUAAAAUAUAAGGAUGGAAAUCAAAGCUUCUGAUCUUAUCCUACUAGAAUUUUCUAAAAUAAGUCAUUUUUCUUGUGGACACAUGUUGUUUAGUUUUAUGAAUUUGCUAUAUACAUGAUUAUCUGAUUACCCUUACCUUCUUUUAGGAAGGUCUUUAUUACCAGUGUUGUUGUGAGAGAACAACAACAUAUUUUGCAUGGGAUUCCUUCAAAGGAACUCUAUCUUAGCAGCUUAUCGCUGGAUGGUAUGACUUACAACAUAAUUGUCCCAAAACUUCGUAAAAGUCCUUGUGUUCAUGAAGCACUCUACAUACUUUAGGACCUACGCUCGAUGGGAUAUCAGCUGAAAUAUGGGACUUCAAAUAUUAUAAUUGGUGUGUUGCUUAAGGGUGACAGAAUGUAGAUUUAUUCAUUGUUAUUUUGGGAAAAGGGUUAGCACAUGAUAUUGUGGCAUACAACGUAUUGGUAUUAAAACCUUAUCAAAACAAGUUUUUGCUAGACGAGCUUGAUGAUAUCUUCGUAUAGAUGAAGCAGAGUUAUGUUCUGACUCACAUAUGCUUUAAUUCUGAGUUAGGAGGCUAUUGGGGAGAGGUGAUAUCAGGAGGGUUAAGAGGUACUUCUCCUUACCUACAUCUCUUAAGAUGUGAGUAUCCACAUUAGCAGAGAUUUAUAAUGUUAUUAUUUUUUAUAUAGUUGACAUAUGGCUAGAGAUGUUUUUUUGAAGAUAUAGAAUUGGGACUAGGCAUUCUUGAGCCUUCACAGUGAAUUGAAAAAAUAUUUUCUCUGUAUGUGAAGUGUAAAUUUCUAGGUAAAUCCUAGAGUGACAAUUUGAUCUUUUGGAGGCUGGUAAAUGGUUCAAGUGGAGGAGCCUCACUCAUUCUUGAGCCUCACUCUAUCAUUGUCUUACCAGACAUAUUUAGAUGGAAAUAGCAUCCACAUAAGGAGGAAUCUCUCACCAAGGCAUAGAGGGACCGGUCAGAACUCAGAAGUUCGAGCCUAAAAUCCUCCCAAUUGCCUUGCUGAUUGUACUGCCUUGAUAGCUUUAAGAGAAGAAUAAGUAAUGUUCUUUCUUAACUUUUAGUUAGCUGUCAUCAUCUAAUUAUAAGCAGUUAUUGCCAGUGCUCCCGAAGUUUUUGUUAUAAUCAAAUAACUGAGCAAGAGACCAUUCAGGGGCUUUGAUGUGGACUCUGUAUUAUUGGUAAAUGUGAUUUUAGUUGGAUAAA